RNAcentral lists this non-coding RNA (21 nucleotides) under Caenorhabditis elegans. The record is from RNAcentral. Lineage: Eukaryota; Metazoa; Nematoda; Chromadorea; Rhabditida; Rhabditidae.
UUCCAGCUCCGUAGAGUGUUU